CCUACGGGAGGCAGCAGUGGGGAAUAUUGCACAAUGGGGGAAACCCUGAUGCAGCGACGCCGCGUGAGCGAUGAAGUAUUUCGGUAUGUAAAGCUCUAUCAGCAGGGAAGAAAAUGACGGUACCUGACUAAGAAGCCCCGGCUAACUACGUGCCAGCAGCCGCGGUAAUACGUAGGGGGCAAGUGUUAUCCGGAUUUACUGGGUGUAAAGGGAGCGUAGACGGUCCUGCAAGCCAGGUGUGAAAGCCCGGGGCUCAACCCCGGGACUGCAUUUGGAACUGUAAGGCUAGAGUGUCGGAGAGGCAGGCGGAAUUCCUAGUGUAGCGGUGAAAUGCGUAGAUAUUAGGAGGAACACCAGUGGCGAAGGCGGCUUGCUGGACGAUGACUGACGUUGAGGCUCGAAAGCGUGGGGAGCAAACAGGAUUAGAUACCCUUGUAGUC
This 440-nucleotide ribosomal RNA is filed under the name uncultured bacterium. RNAcentral's name for it is "partial 16S ribosomal RNA". It matches the Rfam family "Bacterial small subunit ribosomal RNA", at positions 338 to 795 of the family's 1533-position model. The record is from RNAcentral.